UUUUUUUUUUUUUUUGCUACAUGGACUUUUAAAUAUGCUAUUUGAUUAUUAAAGCAGUCUUUCUUACCCUUUAAAUUGUAUCAGCACAACGGCCUCUUCCCAGAUGUGCCAUUUAAGUAUUUCCUGAUCAGAGUGUUACAUCUGCUGUAGGAGAGAAAAAGAAAGACAAAUUGAGUGGUCCAUAGCUAAAAACAAAGCUGGGAAGUGAACCAAGGCACUGAGUGCUCACCAUUGUCUGCCCUUCCUGAGUUGCUGUUUUGUUUGUCUUUCUGUGUUGUUUUUAUUUUCAAAAAUACCAGACAGAGACAGGAUUAUAAGUGUAAUUAAAAAUCCUUAGGAUUUGUCUCCCUGUCUUGAGCACUUUUCUAAACACAAGGUCUCCACAAGAAACUAGCUAAUGGAAAUUUGAUGUCUGUUGUCAAAUAUCUGCCUAAAAACACUUUAAUGUUUAAUGUUCAGGAAUACAAUAUAACAGCUCUUCAAAAAUCAAUAUUCUUAAAUACUCCAUUUGAGAACCCCAAAACAGAAUAUCUAAUAUCUAUUAGGUUCCUCCCUCUGAUUUUGUUUUUCCUAUUGAGUUCAUAAAUGGCAUAAAAAGAUGCCAUGGCUAGAAAGCAAAUAAAUUCUGUUUCUGGGAAGAUGAUUUAAAGAUUCCUUUCAAAAGAAUUGUGCAUGGCAUCUUUUGAAUUUUGCUGCCCAUUUUCCCCACAUAGAGAGAGCAGCUAGAGAUUGCUUUAUAUGAGGGAUAGUUUUUGACCUUGGACAGCUCAGCAAAAUAGUAAGGUUUGUAAUUUGGCUAUUAGUACGUUAUUAAUUAAAUGCUAUAGCUGGAAGGAGGAAAGACUAAAUGUAAAGUAAAAUAUGAAAUAAGUAAAAAGAAUUGUGACUCUCCUGCAGCUCUGUGUGAGUUCAAUUCAGAUGCUAGCUGGAUCUUCACCUCAGUCAAUGUCUGCUGUGGAGGGGAGGGCUGUGUGUGAGCUCCCUGCUUCCAGCAGUGCUGGAAUAUUGUUAACAUCCAUGUCACACUCCCCUUCUGUACCACAGGCAUAAACCCUUUCCAUUGGUGUUGGCAUUUUGCUCAUCAAAGCCACAGAUGCAGGACUAUGAUCUUUUUCUGCAGGCAUGGGGGAGUUUCUUCAGUGUGAGUUUUCUGCUAGAAGCUCUGCAAUAGUCACUUCUGGGAGUGCAGGGGCUGGGGGCGUUCCUGGUGUCCCAGAUAAAGCAGAGUGGGAAUGCCCAGGGGAGCUGGGCACUGCUCCUGCCCUGUGCCUCCAGAGCUGAAGUCUGCCUCCAGCAGGAGAGAAGAGAGGAUGAGGAGGGCUGCAAACCCACAGGGCUCAGCAGGUCUGGGUGAAGGCAGUCCUUCUCCUGGGUGCUGCCUCUGUUCACUAGGGCAGGGAGCUGAGCCUGGCUUGGGGUGGAUACUCGGUGAAGAUCUAUGGGCUGGGAUGGAUGCAGAAAUUCUUCAUUCACACACACCAACUCUGUGUAAACUAGGGAGCAUGAAUUUGUUGAACUUUAUAGCUUUCUUGCCUGUUUUAUUUGUCUAGAAAUCUUGAUUUCUAUCACAGAUGGGGAGCACAUCACCAGCCAUUCUAAGCCAAUAUAUGGGCCCACUGUGAAUGCUGUGACUUGCUCAAUGCUUUAAAGACAUGCAGAGCUUUGUAAAGAAACCAUCAAUAAAAAAGAGCUUAUAAGAGGCAUAAAGUUCAAACAUACUGUGCUUUCUUGUUUAUAACAAGAUUUGUGUUCUUUUUUUUUUUUUGACAUGCAUUUUAUUAAAACUUUCAUCGAUUUAUUAAAACUUCCAUAAUUUUAUUCUCUCCAUUCAUGUUACUUAAUCUCAAGCACCAUUAUAACCCAUCUCCAAGGGGAAAACUCUUCCUUGUUGGUGUGAGGUGUUUGGAAGCUGGUAAUGGCUGUAGCAUUACAGCUCUCCUACGAUGUGCUGCCAGAGCAAGGCUGAUGGAGCUGAGUGAUCAUCAAUGCACAUUUCACUAAUUUAGGGCAAUGUGAAGCCUUCGUGUUCCAUGAAAAUUUCAUGCCAGGGUGCUGUUUGCUCCAGAAAGUAAGAGAGACUCUGCUCUUUCUCUUUAGCAGUUUCCAGAAAUUUAGGAUGAAUUUCAUUUAACUUAAGAUCCAUAUGUUCAUCAUAUCAUGAUCAAUGAUAAAUAGUUUUGAGUCAUGACUGGUAUUUUGAACAUAUGACAUUCCUCAAUGUAUUAUUUUGGACACUCUUACUCCAGGCACAUGGAGCAGUUUUGAUUCAAGGUGAACUACAUCAGUCACCAAAAUUAGGGGGUUAUUGCUAGAGGAAGAAAUUCCUUCUCUUUCUCCUAGAAGUCAGCAGUGUAUGCCAGCAUGUAUUUUUUACUAUAUUGGUUUUAUAAGAACAGUUUCUCACUUUUACUCAUUUGAGAAUUGAAUUAGUUUUUGCUGCUGCUUCACUGACUCCACAGAACAUUUCCCCACAAUCAUUUAACAUGCUAUUAAAUUCUAGAGUAUGUUGUCAGUACAUCUGAUAAUUUGAUUUUGAAUGAUGUUUGUGUCAUUACUAAGUAUUUUAGUCAGCAACAACAAUGUUGGUAAUAUGUAGUGAUGCUUUUAGCAAUGAGCUCAAAAAGAGAUGCAGAAGCCCUGGUGUAAAGCUGGCAGUGGACAGAAUGGAUGACUCCUGAAGCCAUUAUCUUCCAACAGCUUCUGGGGUUCAAUUCAUUUAAACUUGCUGCUUUUGCAUUUUCAUCAGCUUCUUCAGUUUCUUCUGUUUAGUCAAAACUGUGCAAAAUUGGAUUUCAUAAAGCUAUUUUUAAACAGUUUGGAGCUUCGAAUCUACAGGACAUGAAACACUCUGAGGAUUGCACUUCUCUCUAAAUAUCUUUAUGUUGCAUGUUGUUAUUCAGGGGCUAUAAAAGCCAGAUGAGAUCUAACAGAUUAUUAACUGUGGCCAGCUAUUGAUUCUCCCAUUCUGGGCCUUGUUGCACAGUGCAGCUCAUUCCCCUGGAAAUGAAUCCUAUUGAAGCUGUGCCAGUUGGAAAGUACCAAACAUGAGAAAUAUUUGGUGUGAUCAAGUACCACAUUUGACAGAAGAAGUUACCUUGGCUUAAGCAAUUGAUCAUGUGGAAGAUUUGUACAAAAGCAAAGAAGGAAAAACCUGGUUGCUUAAUAAUGCAGAUUUAUCUUGUUACCCAUAAAUAUUCAUGUUUAGGUAAAAUGUGUUUAUGUCUGGGGCCCUAUGUUGCCAAUCUGUUGACAGCACAAGUGGUUUAUGGGGUGUCCAUCCCAAUCCAAGGGCUCCCCAGUGGCCUCCUCUUCAUCCUCUCCCACCAGAGAGUGGUGGUCUCUGUGAACAUCUGUGUGAUUGUGCUUUAACACAAAGCUGUGAUGUGAUCUAAUUGAAUAAAAAAAAAAAAAACCAAAAAAACAGCACCAAUGACUGGGAGCCAAGGUGGCUUAAAUUCACCUUUUCAGGUUCUGGAAGUGCCCAGACCUGCAGUCAGCAAACAGAAAUUGCAUGGGCUGUUCCAGUUAGUGCCUCUUGCUCUGCUGACUUUGCCAUCUAUGCCCUGAUGCUGCAGGUCUCUGCUGGCUGGGGCUGUCUGAAGCUUUCUGGGUGCUGUGGCAGCCCAGCUUCCUCUGGUUCCAUCCCACAGGAUAACCCAGAGCAGCCAGGUGCUACAGGCAGGGCUGGGGCCAUUACAGGGAGGUGUCACUACACUGAGGUGACAGGGGACAGGGACAAGGUGACCUGGCCACCACUGGUCACUCUGGGCUGCUGUGAGGACACAGCAAAUGCUCCCCAGUCCUUCAGCCUGGGUGAGGUCACCUGGACAUGCUCACCUGGACAUGCUUUGCCCCAGCCCAAGGAAUGGGGAUGUGGAGUAGCUGCUGCCUUUCCCACCAUUUGGCCUCAGGCCCAGGAUCACUCCCUGGCACUCUUCAUUAGCAGGACAAACAGCUUUGCUUUGCUUUCUCCUGGGGUUUUGGGGUUGGUUUGAUUGUUUUGCUGGGGAUAGGAGAAGUGAUAUACCAUGAUUAGUAGGAAAGCUCUUAAUUUGCUGCUUAUUGGGUUUUGUGUGUUUUUGGUUUCUCCCUAAAAGACUUGUCCUAGAGAAUUCUCCUGUGGCUUGUGAAUGCUUUGCUUUGUGAACAUUUAAUCCAGCGUGGGCUUCAACAGUAAUUAGUAACAUGGAUAUUUAUGGAGACAUUCUAACCUGCUUUGUUCAUGAAUAUUUCACCAUGGUGGAAAUUUCACACCCAAUAAAUCACUAAUGAAAAUGUCAUUUCCCAGCUGCAUUUACCUGAUGUGCUGUUAAUCUUGCUGUACCCAUUGGAGGUAGAAUUACUGUCAGAUUUGCAACACAGAGAGGAAUUGAUUUUUAAUUAGUGACCCCAAUAGUGUAGGUUAAAAAUUAUUUUUAAAUGGUGAUUUAAUGGCCCUUUUCAUAUAAUGGCAUCAGCUUCAUUGCCUGUACUGAUGUUUUCUAGGCUGCUAUUCAAGCAGAUGCUUUGAAGGACAACAUAAGAACCAUUGGGAUUGAAGGGAUCAAGGAGAGCAGUGGUGUGGGGAAGGUGGAUCUGAAAGCAAGAAGUGUCAGAGAAACCACAUGAAACCCAGUACCCUUUGUACUGACAAAUCUCACAAGCCAAAAUGUCACUCUACUUGCAUUUGGUCUCUUCCCAGUGUGAUCCUCAACUGGGCCAUUCAAUUCUAGGAUGACAUUUCAUGAAGGAAAUUAUUACAAGAUAGAUUAUUGUGUUUGGAAAGAUCAUAAAUCAUUUUGCCUGUUUGAUGAGUCUUAUCCAUUUUCCUUAAGUAAUUGAUAUCAUGGCCAGCAUUCCUGUGGACAGACAUCUCUAAUUUAAGGGAAAGCAGAAUAGCACAGCGCAAAAAGAGUAUGGCUUCCCUGAUAUUGUCACUGCAGUUAAUUGGCUGAAUGAAAAAAGUUAAUGAAAUAGUAGAAUAGGAUGAUCACUUUAAAAAGACCAGUAAAAAGGGAAUGAAUCAUGCCAUAGGAGGGAGCUAUAGCAUUCUCCUUUCCUGAAAGUCAGGCUCUCUAGCUGCAUCUUAUUAUCCUG
Taeniopygia guttata (zebra finch) is the source of this 5076-nucleotide long non-coding RNA. The record is from Ensembl. NCBI's taxonomy places the organism in Eukaryota, Metazoa, Chordata, Aves, Passeriformes, Estrildidae.